CCUACGGGUGGCAGCAGUCGAGAAUCAUUCACAAUGGCGGAAACCCUGAUGGUGCGACGCCGCGUGGGGGAAUGAAGGUCUUCGGAUUGUAAACCCCUGUCAUGUGGGAGCAAAUUAAAAAGAUAGUACCACAAGAGGAAGAGACGGCUAACUCUGUGCCAGCAGCCGCGGUAAUACAGAGGUCUCAAGCGUUGUUCGGAAGCACUGGGCGUAAAUGGUGCGUAGGCUGUUUCGUAAGUCGUGUGUGAAAGGCGCGGGCUCAACCCGCGGACGGCACAUGAUACUGCGAGACUAGAGUAAGGGAGGGGGAACCGGAAUUCGCGGUGUAGCAGUGAAAUGCGUAGAUAUCGAGAGGAACACUCGUGGCGAAGGCGGGUUCCUGGACAUUAACUGACGCUGAGGCACGAAGGCCAGGGGAGCGAAAGGGAUUAGAUACCCGAGUAGUC
Molecule: ribosomal RNA, 446 nt
Filed under: uncultured bacterium
Lineage: Bacteria
Description: partial 16S ribosomal RNA
Rfam family: Bacterial small subunit ribosomal RNA
Source: RNAcentral